GAGGUCCAGCUGAAGCAGCCUGGAACUGUGGUGGUGAAACCUGGGGCUUCAGUGAAGAUAUCCUGCCAGGCUUCUGGUUACUCAUUUACUGGCUACUACAUGCACUGGGUGAAGCAGAGCCAUGAAAAGAGCCUUUAGUGGAUUCUACUUAUUAUUCCUUACAAUGGUGAUACUAGCAACAACCAGAAGUUCAAGGGCAAAGCAACAUUGACUGUAGACAAGUCCUCCAGCACAGCCAACAUGGAGCUCUGCAGCCUGACAUCUGAGGACUCUACGGUCUAUUACCGUGCAAGACU
This is a non-coding RNA of Mus musculus (house mouse), 296 nucleotides long. The record is from the annotation of a RefSeq genome assembly. Lineage: Eukaryota; Metazoa; Chordata; Mammalia; Rodentia; Muridae.